RNAcentral lists this ribosomal RNA (465 nucleotides) under Vreelandella stevensii. Its description in RNAcentral is "partial 16S ribosomal RNA". It matches the Rfam family "Bacterial small subunit ribosomal RNA", at positions 338 to 795 of the family's 1533-position model. Lineage: Bacteria; Pseudomonadati; Pseudomonadota; Gammaproteobacteria; Oceanospirillales; Halomonadaceae. The record is from RNAcentral.
CCUACGGGCGGCAGCAGUGGGGAAUAUUGGACAAUGGGGGGAACCCUGAUCCAGCCAUGCCGCGUGUGUGAAGAAGGCCCUCGGGUUGUAAAGCACUUUCAGUGAGGAAGAACGCCUGGUGGUUAAUACCCAUCAGGAAAGACAUCACUCACAGAAGAAGCACCGGCUAACUCCGUGCCAGCAGCCGCGGUAAUACGGAGGGUGCGAGCGUUAAUCGGAAUUACUGGGCAUAAAGCGCGCGUAGGUGGCUUGAUAAGCCGGUUGUGAAAGCCCCGGGCUCAACCUGGGAACGGCAUCCGGAACUGUCAAGCUAGAGUGCAGGAGAGGAAGGUAGAAUUCCCGGUGUAGCGGUGAAAUGCGUAGAGAUCGGGAGGAAUACCAGUGGCGAAGGCGGCCUUCUGGACUGACACUGACACUGAGGUGCGAAAGCGUGGGUAGCAAACAGGAUUAGAUACCCGAGUAGUC